This 376-nucleotide ribosomal RNA is filed under the name uncultured alga. RNAcentral describes it as "partial 23S ribosomal RNA". It matches the Rfam family "Bacterial large subunit ribosomal RNA", at positions 2098 to 2476 of the family's 2925-position model. The record is from RNAcentral.
GCUUGACUGUAUCCUGGAAUUGGGUUUCGGUUUUUCUUGCGCAGUCUAGGUGGGAGCUAUGAAGAUUUCCUUCCGGGGAAAUUAGAGCCCAUCAGUGAGAGACCACUCUGGAAGAACUAAAAUUCUAAUGGCGUUCCUUGAAUCAGGACGCUUGACAUUUUCAGGUGGGCAGUUUUUCUGGGGCGGAAGCCUCAUAAAGCGUAACGGAGGUGUGCAAAGGUUCUUUCAGCCUGGACGGAAUCAGGCAUUGAGUGCAAAGGCAAAAGGGAGCUUGACUGCAAGACCUACAAGUCGAGCAGGGGCGAAAGCCGGCUUAGUGAUCCGACGAUUCCAAGUGGAAGGUCGUCGCUCAACGGAUAAAGUUAGUCUAGGGAUA